UUGGCAGUUGAGAUUCAGACCUUGACAGUUGUAACCGAUAGACUGGGCUGGGGCAACGCUGAUGAAAGGCAAAUUCCUGAGAGAAAAAUCACCCAGAUUUUUCAGUGCCUUCUCUAGCUUUCUAGAAGUUGUUAUGAGUGGACCUGACUACCUAGAGAGAGUAAUACAGAAGCUCCGUGCCGAUCACAGCUACCUCAUUACCAUGUUCCUCCAAGAUGGCCGCCCCUGAGGAGAAUCAUCAACUGGGCUUUACGGAAGAGAGAAAUCCAAACGACCAUCAGCAACAAAUGAAAGACUGAAGUUGAAAGGAAAUCCAUAAUUUUUGAAUGCUGGCCGAGGUCUGUGACCUCUGACUGAAUGGUUUCCAAGCUCCGAAUUCCUAGGUGAUGUUUUCAUUUGUUCACACUUGCUGAAGAAGGGAAAGGCUCUCUGAUUUACGUGUAAGCAAAACAAUCUAAACAGUAGGAUAAAAUCAUGUUGGAAUGGAGUUCUGUGUGGAUGCUCCUUUGAACCAAAUCAGUUCCACAACUGACCCUGUCAGGGACAUAUAAAUUUAGCAUUUUGGUGUGGAUACAGAAGACGAGAUUAACACAGAUCAAGUAACAUGGAAAUAAAAAAGGAGACAAUGCUGGAUGAUACAGGGGCAGCCAACAAGAGGAGAAAACCCAAGCAUUGGCAAAUGCCUCAUUAUCCAAAGAACACUCCUUAUACUCCUGAGAAUUUGUGGCAGUCCUGGGUUAAACGAUGAAGGCUUCUUAUUCUCAUGUAGGUCUCACAGCCUCUUGUCUCCCUGAGUUUUAAACACAUUGCAUUACCUUUCCAGAGGGGCCUCAGAGUAUGUCAGCUGGGGUCAGACGGGAACAGGAGUCUGGCUCAACACACAUUUAUUGCACUCCUGUUUCAUGCCAAGAAAUGUACCAAAAUCUGGGACUGUGUAACACAGCAAAGGAAAAGACUCAUCUCCAGGAAGCCCCCUUGUCUAGGAAGAGAAAUUGAAUAUCAGCAUAAGGUGGUGAAAAGCUGUGAAGGAGAUGAGUGCCAGGAGUCCAUGGAGGAAGGAUUCUAGCCUGGACAGGUGAGGAAUGGCUUUCUGGAAGAAGCAGAUGCCCCAGCUGAACUUUAAAAUGCCCAUGUGAAAUGAACUGUCUGUAUCUUCAAUCAGCAAAUGGAGUAGGUGGCCACUGUUUAAUUCUGGAAUGGGGAAGUGUAAAGGUGUGGUGUGUGUGUUUACCCCUACUUAGGGAUUCAAAACAGACAGUAAAGAACAAAAGUCUAGCCCUUUGAGCAUUCUCCAUGGGACAUUUGAGGUCUAGCUGGCCCCAGAGAAAGAGAGACAGAAGCAAGGUCAUAUCCAUUUGAGAAAAUCAAAGUGUCUGCUCCAA
RNAcentral lists this long non-coding RNA (1382 nucleotides) under Homo sapiens (human). Its description in RNAcentral is "long intergenic non-protein coding RNA 1206". The record is from RNAcentral. Lineage: Eukaryota; Metazoa; Chordata; Mammalia; Primates; Hominidae.